UUCGGCGCAUAUCUGGGAGACUUCUCUUCAUCUUUUCAUCGAAUCAAGACUGCGAUGGCGGGCUGCUUGUUCUUGAAUUGUGCGACGGGGACGGGGGAGCAGAGGGAGAAGCGCAUGCGCACAACUCAGGGAAGACGCAGCCGUUGCCUUCGUCAAAGAAAAAAAAAACAUUAUGCUGCUUGCGCGUAAGGGAGACAUUCGCCUCCUCGACUGCUGCCCACCCCCCGAGAGCACGCUGGAACCCAAACGUACACGUCUGGAGCCGCGAAGAGGGUGCGCUACCGCAACUCUGCACGGUGGAACGAGAGUAGCGAGAAGGGUGCGUUUUGUGUGCGCUUCCCAUAUUUGAGGGGCCUGUUGCACACUUGCACACACGCGCACACACGCAGGCACAGCCACACGUUUGUACUCUCUCGGCGGGCUGUCCGUGUGGGUGUGUGUGGUUUCUACCUUUCGCUCUCUGUGACCGUCUGUGCAAUUUCGCUACGCACCCUGUUGUUUGAUCUGACUUCGGUCGCAG
Molecule: unclassified non-coding RNA, 520 nt
Filed under: Leishmania donovani
Lineage: Eukaryota; Euglenozoa; Kinetoplastea; Trypanosomatida; Trypanosomatidae
Description: gene:unknown
Source: RNAcentral